AUUGAACGCUGGCGGCAGGCCUAACACAUGCAAGUCGAACGAGCGGCGGACGGGUGAGUAAUGUAUGGGGAACUGCCUGAUUGAGGGGGAUAACUACUGGCAACGGUAGCUAAUACCGCAUCCCAUCGGAUGUACCCAUAUGGGAUUAGCUAGUAGGGGGGGUAAAGGCUCACCUAGGCGACGAUCCCUAGCUGGUCUGAGAGGAGGAACAGCCACACUGGAACUGAGACACGGCCCAGACUCCUACGGGAGGCAGCAGUGGGGAAUAUUGCACAAUGGGCGCAAGCCUGAUGCAGCCAUGCCGCGUGUAUGAAGAAGGCCUUCGGGUUGUAAAGUACUUUCAGUCGGGAGGCGUUACCGACAGAAGAAGCACCGGCUAACUCCGUGCCAGCAGCCGCGGUAAUUC
Molecule: ribosomal RNA, 406 nt
Filed under: uncultured bacterium
Lineage: Bacteria
Description: partial 16S ribosomal RNA
Rfam family: Bacterial small subunit ribosomal RNA
Source: RNAcentral